This is a long non-coding RNA of Sphaeramia orbicularis (orbiculate cardinalfish), 254 nucleotides long. RefSeq lists it as uncharacterized. The record is from RefSeq and is a predicted model, not a curated record. The transcript has 3 exons. Lineage: Eukaryota; Metazoa; Chordata; Actinopteri; Kurtiformes; Apogonidae.
AACUUCAGAGUGGCCAAGUCUACAUGUAAAAUUUGUAGGGAUGCACCAAUACAGAUACCAGUAUCGGGUAUCGGUCCGGUACUGAGCGUGUGUACUAAUACUCAUACUCGUAUAAGUGCUCCAAUACAAACACACCGAUACCACUUGACGACAGCGUGACGUUCACCUUAUAGUGCAGCAGGUACGUGGCUGAGGAGUAAUGUCAGUAGUCUGGAGAUUUUUCAAGAUAAACGACGGUGACAAAAGUAACAGUG